This 159-nucleotide ribosomal RNA is filed under the name Hyaloscypha variabilis. Its description in RNAcentral is "5.8S rRNA". It matches the Rfam family "5.8S ribosomal RNA". Rfam says of the family: 5.8S ribosomal RNA (5.8S rRNA) is a component of the large subunit of the eukaryotic ribosome. Lineage: Eukaryota; Fungi; Ascomycota; Leotiomycetes; Helotiales; Hyaloscyphaceae. The record is from RNAcentral.
AUAAUAUUUAAAACUUUCAUCUUGGUUCUGGCAUCGAUGAAGAACGCAGCGAAAUGCGAUAAGUAAUGUGAAUUGCAGAAUUCAGUGAAUCAUCGAAUCUUUGAACGCACAUUGCGCCCCUUGGUAUUCCGAGGGGCAUGCCUGUUCGAGCGUCAUUAU